This 1220-nucleotide long non-coding RNA is filed under the name Homo sapiens (human). RNAcentral's name for it is "HSALNT0379794". Lineage: Eukaryota; Metazoa; Chordata; Mammalia; Primates; Hominidae. The record is from RNAcentral.
AAGCGCGGGUGGCGGGGGUCGGGAGAGGCGUCAGGAUCCCUGGCGCCGCCUGAGCCAGCGGCUGCUAGGAGGCUGUGUCCGCAAGCCAGCGGGGCGAGGCGGCUGGGCCCUGCGCGUCAGGUCCCGGCCUGGGGCACCGGGGCUGCCAGCGUCGGAGGAGGUGCGGGCGCUGGGUUGACGGGCGGCCGAACGGGGGGCCUGCGCGGACCGCCCGCGGCGCAGCCUUGGGUCUGUCUCCAUGUCUAAGUGGUGGUGGCUGUGGGUUUUUCUGCAGGUGAUCCUUUUGAGUAAUUUGUUUCACGCAGGCGCCCUGCUGUAGGGUAAAGCGGCAGAUUCGUGCUGCUGUCAUUUGUCGUUCAAACUGUGGGCUUCUUGACCAGGCGCGGUGGCUCAAGCCUGUAAUCCCAGCACUUUGGGAGGCCGAGGCGGGCGGAUCACGAGGUCAGGAGAUGGAGAUCAUCCUGGCUAACACGGCGAAACCCUGUCUCUACUAAAAAUACAAAAAAUUAGCUGGGCGUGGUGGCGGGCGCCUGCAGUCCCAGCUACUCGGGAGGCUGAGGCAGGACAAUGGUGUGAACCCGGGAGGUGGAGCUUGCAGUGAGCUGAGAUUCCGCCACUGCACUCAAGACUGGGUGACAGAGGGAGACUCCAUCUCAAAACAAAACAAAAAACGAUGGGCUUUCUGUCAUGUGUGUGUGUACCUUUUGGAUUUGAGGGCAGGGGGAUGACAUUGUGAUCUGGCCUCCUGAGAAACCAGGCACACCCUGCCUACCUUGGAAGGAGGCUUUCCCUUCCCCACCUCCCUCUCCCUCCAUCUGUUCCCUCUUUCCCUCUCUGCACUUCACUCCGGUCCCCCAGCUCUUCUCUCCCAUCUUUUUGUUCUCUGUCUCUCUCUUUUGUUUUUUUUCUGCAUUAAACCUUUCCGGAGUGUCUUUGUAAAAUAGUAAAAAGCGUUAGGUCUUCAACAUGUAUGUUUACUUGCAGGCCUGAGAACUGGGAGGAAGCUGGAGAAAAGAUGCCCUCUGAAUCUUUGUGUUUGGCUGCCCAGGCUCGCCUUGACACCGAAUGGUUGAAAACAGAUAUACAGAUGAUAGUGUCGAACCAAGUGGAACAAAGAAAGAAGAUCUGAAUGACAAAGAGAAAAAAGAUGAAGACGAAACUCCUGCACCUGUAUAUAGGGCCAAGUCAAUUCUGGAGACCUGGGUGUGGGUCAAGCAACC